AAAAGUUCUCUCUCCAAUCACAAUUACCGAUCCUUAAUUUCUAUCCAUACGCGUGCAUUAUGCCAAAAAGAGUGACAGUAGCUUCCAAAACAACACCUUAACUUUGAGCGCUUGUAUCUCCUUCAUAUAAACUUCAACCAUACAAAACUUGUACCAAAACCAUAGCCAAUAUCCUUAAACUUCUGAAUCUAGCCUUUAAAACUUGAAUGG
This 210-nucleotide long non-coding RNA is filed under the name Physcomitrium patens. RNAcentral's name for it is "long non-coding RNA (PPAT_LNC005600)". The record is from RNAcentral. Lineage: Eukaryota; Viridiplantae; Streptophyta; Bryopsida; Funariales; Funariaceae.